RNAcentral lists this long non-coding RNA (677 nucleotides) under Numida meleagris (helmeted guineafowl). Its description in RNAcentral is "lncRNA (ENSNMEG00000017835.1)". Lineage: Eukaryota; Metazoa; Chordata; Aves; Galliformes; Numididae. The record is from RNAcentral.
CCUCACUAUAGCCAAAUCCCACAGAGUUGGGACUUGUUGUCUCCCACACAGAACCAAAGACCAAGAAAGGCAGAGGCAUGAGAAGCUCAUUAAUGCUAAUUAACGGAAACUACUAAAGUGAGUGGUGGUGUAGACCUGCAGUAUUCCUCAAAGCUGGGCACCUAAGUCUGGGUGGUAGAAGCAGCUCUCCUUGCAGGAGAUUAGAAGCCAAAGUCUACAUGUUGAAAAGGACACUCUUCCCUUUCUGUGUCAUGAUGCUCCUGACUUGUGGAAACAAACUUUACAACCAGGGAAUGUUAUAAAGCAGGAUGACACGUGGGAAGUUUUAAGUUAUUCCUUAAAGCAACUUUCACUGGAGUAAAUAGAAUAAUGGGCUGCAAUCAUACUUAGCAUUGAUCGCUACUUCUGAAGGUAUUGAAUGAAGUGAGUAACUUUGCCUUAUUGUAAUGAAUGUAUACAAUAACAGAAAUGCUGUUAAAAUAUUAUUGCAUCAAUUCUACUAAUUUCAUAGAUUCAGUACUUCUUUGAAAGCCAUGUAUCACAUACUUAGAAUCAGUAAUGCAGGAAUAUUUAUUCAAUAACUUUUCUAUUCUGGUGGUAGUUCAGUGAAUGCUGCCUCUUACCCAUUUAGUAACCUAACUGCUGUCAUAAAAUAUUGGUAUUCAUUUUUAUUUUAC